GAUGAACGCUAGCUACAGGCUUAACACAUGCAAGUCGAGGGGAAACGAUAGAGAAAGCUUGCUUUUUCUAGGCGUCGACCGGCGCACGGGUGAGUAACGCGUAUCCAACCUGCCCACCACUUGGGGAUAACCUUGCGAAAGUAAGACUAAUACCCAAUGACGUCUCUAGAAGACAUCUGAAAGAGAUUAAAGAUUUAUCGGUGAUGGAUGGGGAUGCGUCUGAUUAGCUUGUUGGCGGGGUAACGGCCCACCAAGGCGACGAUCAGUAGGGGUUCUGAGAGGAAGGUCCCCCACAUUGGAACUGAGACACGGUCCAAACUCCUACGGGGAGGCAGCAGUGAGGAAUAUUGGUCAAUGGACGAGAGUCUGAACCAGCCAAGUAGCGUGCAGGAUGACGGCCCUAUGGGUUGUAAACUGCUUUUAUAAGGGAAUAAAGUGAGUCUCGUGAGACUUUUUUGCAUGUACCUUAUGAAUAAGGACCGGCUAAUUCCGUG
RNAcentral lists this ribosomal RNA (494 nucleotides) under uncultured bacterium. Its description in RNAcentral is "bacterial SSU rRNA". It matches the Rfam family "Bacterial small subunit ribosomal RNA", at positions 28 to 507 of the family's 1533-position model. The record is from RNAcentral.